This 68-nucleotide transfer RNA is filed under the name Ursus spelaeus (cave bear). RNAcentral describes it as "tRNA-Tyr". It matches the Rfam family "tRNA". Rfam says of the family: Transfer RNA (tRNA) molecules are approximately 80 nucleotides in length. Their secondary structure includes four short double-helical elements and three loops (D, anti-codon, and T loops). The record is from RNAcentral. Lineage: Eukaryota; Metazoa; Chordata; Mammalia; Carnivora; Ursidae.
GGUAAAAUGGCUGAUAAAAGUAUUAGACUGUAAAUCUAAGAAUAGAGGUCAAGCCCUCUUUUUGCCAA